AUUUGCAUAGGCAAUGAGGUCUGCCAUUAACUGCCGUAAAAAGCUGAUGACUUCUACCAGCAA
RNAcentral lists this non-coding RNA (63 nucleotides) under Mariniphaga anaerophila. RNAcentral describes it as "Fluoride sequence". It matches the Rfam family "Fluoride riboswitch aptamer (crcB RNA motif)". The record is from Rfam by way of RNAcentral. Lineage: Bacteria; Pseudomonadati; Bacteroidota; Bacteroidia; Marinilabiliales; Prolixibacteraceae.